This is a long non-coding RNA of Heterocephalus glaber (naked mole-rat), 4027 nucleotides long. NCBI's taxonomy places the organism in Eukaryota, Metazoa, Chordata, Mammalia, Rodentia, Bathyergidae. The record is from Ensembl.
GGCCAUCGAGGAGGCGGGCACUUCGGAGCGGGAAGCCAGGGGCCCUCGGUGAACAAAGACUGGGUGGGAGGCGGAGGCGGCCUGUUCCUCUCCACCCCGCCCCCCAGCGCCUGCUGAGCCGAGACUACAGACAUCGAGGCAGGGGCGGAGGAGCAUGGCUGGGCCCCGCGCGGCGCGGCUGUCCCCGCUGCUGCAACUCGGCAGCCUGGCGCUGGUAGCGGGCAGGGCCCCCGAAGGCCCUCUGCUGUCCCCAACCCCGCCUGGACGUCUGCGUGUAGGGAGCUUGCAGUCCACCUGCCCUCCCCCGCCAGCCCCCUUUCCUAACUCAGGAGAGCAGGAUGAGGUGAAGCUAUCCUCAGGGAGACUCCCAGGCUUGCUGAUAUCCAUGGCUACCAGCAGCAGGCACCUGCCCACUCCUCAGUCACCUGCCCACUCCCUGUUGGGAGCCCCCAGAAACAGUGGCACCCCUUGGAGGAACGGCUGGGGUGGCUGGAGGCUGAGGUGCCCAAGCUCAGAGAGCAGAAUGAGGACCUGCAGGCCAGAGUGAGGCGGCUGGAGUCCUGUGAAUGCCGCCCUGCCUCUGUCCAGUGCUGGGGGCUUGGGCGCGCCUGGCCUGAGGGGUCUUGCUGGGAGCCCAAUGCCUGCACAGCCUGCAUCUGCCAGGACGGGGCAGCACGCUGUGGCCCUCGGCCCGAGCUGCCCCACUGCCAACGUUAGUGCCACCCAAUCUACCCACUGAGCCACUUCAGGGCCUGGAGAUGGUGUUGGGCCUGAGUGCCACACUGUCUCCUCCUCAGGCUGCAGCCACAAUGGUCAGGUCUGUGGUAAUGGGGAGACGUUCUCCCCAGACACCUGCACCUCCUGCCUCUGCCUGGUGAGUUCCCACGCCCUCCCUCCAGCUCCCCAUCACUAGGUGCUGGGACUGGAUAUUGUGUGAUGGGUUCUUGCCCCUGGUGGCCUUGGGCUGAUUCUCUGGGGGUCUGCUGUCUGAAGUGCAACCCCCCCCCAAGCCUCAAGCCCCUUGAUUUUGCCUUGACAAAGAGUGGCAUGGGGGCCAGAGGAUGUAGUUACUAUCUUCUUUCCUCAAACCCUCUCCUGUGUGACGAGCGCUGUUGCCCUCACCCCACCUCAUCUGCUACCUCACAUUUCCACUGCCUGCUUUCUGUCACUUCCUCCAUGGCCUUUUCUCCUGGCCUUUUCUUUCCUACUCCUCCACUGAGAAAGCCCUGGGUUCUCUUCCUAGGAUCUCUCCACUCUGGGGAAGUUGCUGGCACCUGGAGAAGCGGGUUCCAAGGGGUCAAGGGCUUCAGGAAUGGUGGGGUGGAUGGGACAUCUCUUUUCUGCCCUUGGGCUGGGGUAGCAUGUAUGCUGAGCCAGCUCAUCCUCUGCUUCUGGACACAUUCCUGCCUGGGGUGAGUCUGGAGUUCGGAAGGCCCUGCAGUCACCCUAGCUGCUUCCACAGGAAGGGGCCAUCACCUGUACCCAGAAGCCAUGCCCAAGAGCACCCUGCCCUGAGCUGGGAGCAUGCUGCCCACACUGUGAACCAGGUCAGCAUGCUACAGGCCCUGCCCUCCCUCCUGGUUGUGCCCUGGGGGACCUGACAGAGAGAGAGAGCAGAGCUGAAGAAACCCUGUGAUGGUGCCUGGUGAGUGCUGAGCUGAGCUGGAGCCAGCAAAUGCUGACGCUGCCCUGGGAUGCAUCAAAGAUUAUCAGGACCCUGAGGAGCUUCUGGUCUAGUUGAGAAGAUAAAUUUACAGCUAAUCUAUCACAAGAUUUAAGAUCCAAUGAACAGAUUAGGAGAUGUAGAAGACAUGGGCCAGGGAUUUAGCCCAGUGGUUCUGUCGCCUGCCUCGCAAGCACAAGGACCCGAGUUCAAUCCCCGGUACCAAAAAAAAAAAAAAAAGAGAGAUGUAGAAGACAGUGCAUGCUUUCCCAGAGGAAGGAACAGGAGGGCAGGGGACACCCAUCUGAGCAGGUAGGCAGUUAGGAAGGCCUUUGUAGCCCAGGGGUCAUUUGCACUGGAUCUUCAAGGGAAGGUGGGAUUUCUCCAGGAGAAGGAGAACUUGAGGUCCCUCUGAAUAGGAACCAGGCAGGGAGAAAUGUAUUCCAAGAAUCAGUCCAGGAGGGCCAGUGGAAACAGGCUGUGAUAAGCCCUGCAGUUGGGCUUUCUUCUGUGGGCAGUAGGGAACUUUUGAAGGCUGAAGAGCCAGAGUGUGACAUAUUCAAAUAUAAUGUUUAGGAAUAUUCAGCUGGUGUGGGCUGGAUGCAGAGAGACCAGUUGGGGGCUUUUACAGUCCUUGUCUAGGCAUGGAGCCAGAGAUGGUAGGAGGCUGCAAAUAACAAAGUGUUUCUAAAGAAUGUGCAGGGAUUGGUGACUGGUUGGAUCCAUGGAGUAAUGGUGGCCUUUCAUUUAAAAGAAAGACACCCCUUUAAAGGCACUUUAGUCCAAUCUGUUGUAAAAUAAAUACAUCGAGGAGCCAGGUGUGGUGAUGCAUGCCCAUGAUCCCAGCACUCUGGAGGCUAAGGCAGGAGGAUUCCUGUACGUUUAAGGCCAGCCUGGGCUACAUAGUGAGUUCAAGGAUAGCCUUAACUACUUAGCAAGACCUUGUCUCAAAAAAUUAAGAAUAAAUAAAUAAAUACAUUGUUUCCAUCAGUUAGACACUUGACUGUCACCUGCUGGAAAGGUGUAGUAAAUAUAAAACUCUGAUAGCUGGGUCCUGAAUGGUGGCCCUGUGAUGUGGCACCCAGCCCUCUGAGUCCGGUUUUGCAGGCUGCCCUGAGGGCCACAGGUCAGGGGAAACGUGGCAUCCAGAGCCCUGUGUCACUUGCACCUGCCAGGUAAGAGAAUCAGGGCCUCGCCCCGGCUAUCACCUGCAUCCCUGCUGCCCCAGGCCUGAUCCUACCCAUCCUAAUCUGGAGGCCAGGCCAGGCUUCUGCCUCCACCCAGGUGUUGAGGCCUGGAGCCUGCUAGGCCAAAGGCCUGAAGAGUCCUCUGGCUCGGGCAGUGGGGAGGGAGGAGGCGGGGCUGAGUGUCUUGACCCACAGGCAGGGACCGUGCAGUGCCAGGGGCCCUCAUGCUCUGAGCUCAACUGUCUGGAGAGCUACACCCCACCCAGGGAGUGCUGCCCCAUCUGCCGGCCAGGCUGUGAGUAUGAGGGGCGGCUUCACGAAGAGGGGGCCAGCUUCCUGUCCAUCUCCAACCCUUGUCUCCAGUGCUCCUGCCUGAGGAGCCUGGUUCGCUGUGUGCCCAUGAAGUGCCCACCCAGUCCCUGCCCCGAGCCAGUUCUGAGGCCUGGAGACUGCUGCCCAGCCUGCCAAGCCCACCGUACUGGCCUCUUGAUUUGGUUUGAUGGUGAUGGUGGGGAGUAAUGCCAGUCCAAGCCUGCUCUGGAGCUGCAAUGCCCAAGCUCAAAUUCUGCCAUUGCCACUUGGUGGUUGUGUGACUCUAAGUCACUCUGUGCCUCUGUUUCCGCAUUUUAAGGUGCACAUAGUGAUAUUCUAGAUCCCACAAUGCUGUGUAAUAUAUGACCAUUAUUACCUGCUUUUCGCACCCCAACACAGAAGGUGAGGGGAGUGACCUUCAGGGGUGACCACCAGAGGGCGACCCUGAGUCAUACACCAAUACUGUGAAACAAAUGUCACGGUCAGAAAUAAAAGCAGGGGAUAUUCCACUGCUGGGGAUCUUCCCCAAGGAUUAAAGGGAUCAUACCACAGUGAUAGAUGGGCGCCCAUGUUCAUAGCAGCACAGUUUGUGAUAGCUAAAACUUGGAAACAGCCCAAAUGCCCAUCAACUGGAGACUGGAUCAAGAAAAUGUGGGUUUUUUAUAAAAUGGAGUACUGCUCAGCCAUAAAGAAUGAGAAAUUAGAGACAUUUAUAGCUAAAUGGAUGCACAUUGAGGCCAUCCUCUUAAGUGAAAUAAAUAGGACACACAUAUGUAAAUACCGAAUAGUUUCUCUGGUGUGAGAAACUGAAAGUGUAAAUAAGGACUAAAUGUAUAAUAGGUAAUGUGAAAUAGGAAGAAAAGGG